This 253-nucleotide ribosomal RNA is filed under the name uncultured bacterium. RNAcentral's name for it is "partial 16S ribosomal RNA". It matches the Rfam family "Bacterial small subunit ribosomal RNA", at positions 524 to 776 of the family's 1533-position model. The record is from RNAcentral.
UACGUAGGUGGCGAGCGUUGUCCGGAAUUACUGGGUGUAAAGGGCGUGUAGGCGGGAAUGUAAGUCAGAUGUGAAUUGCCAAGGCUUAACCUUGGAGCUGCAUCUGAAACUGCGUUUCUUGAGGGUCGGAGAGGAAAGUGGAAUUCCUAGUGUAGCGGUGAAAUGCGUAGAUAUUAGGAGGAACACCAGUGGCGAAGGCGACUUUCUGGACGAUAACUGACGCUGAGGCGCGAAAGCGUGGGGAGCAAACAGG